Molecule: ribosomal RNA, 305 nt
Filed under: uncultured bacterium
Lineage: Bacteria
Description: bacterial SSU rRNA
Rfam family: Bacterial small subunit ribosomal RNA
Source: RNAcentral
CCUCCUCCGGGGCGCAGCAGUGAGGACUAUUGGUCAAUGGGCGGGCGCCUGCCCCCGCCCCUCCGCGUGCCGGCAGAAGGCGCCAAGCGUCGUAAACUUCUUUUGUCGGGGAACAAAGGGCGCCACGUGUGGCGUUGUGAGUGUACCCGAAGAAAAAGCAUUGGCUAACUCCGUGCCAGCAGCCGCGGUAAUACGGAGGAUGCGAGCGUUAUCCGGAUUUAUUGGGUUUAACGGGUGCGUAGGCGGUCCGGAAAGUCAGCGGUAAAAGCCCGGGGCUCAACCCCGGCGAGCCGUUGAAACUGUCG